This 790-nucleotide ribosomal RNA is filed under the name uncultured Pelagibacteraceae bacterium. RNAcentral's name for it is "bacterial SSU rRNA". It matches the Rfam family "Bacterial small subunit ribosomal RNA", at positions 45 to 883 of the family's 1533-position model. The record is from RNAcentral. Lineage: Bacteria; Pseudomonadati; Pseudomonadota; Alphaproteobacteria; Candidatus Pelagibacterales; Candidatus Pelagibacteraceae.
CGCCUAACACAUGCAAGUCGAACGAAGUAGCAAUACUUAGUGGCAGACGGGUGAGUAACAUGUAGGUAUCUGCCCUUUGGCCUGGAAUAACACGAGGAAACUUGUGCUAAUACCGGAUAAGUCUUUACGGAGAAAGCUUUAUGCACCAUUGGAUGAGCCUGCACUUGAUUAGUUUGUUGGUGGGGUAAUGGCCUACCAAGACUGUGAUCAAUAGCUGAUUUGAGAGGAUGAUCAGCCACAUUGGGACUGAGACACGGCCCAAACUCCUACGGGAGGCAGCAGUGGGGAAUCUUGCACAAUGGAGGAAACUCUGAUGCAGCGAUGCCGCGUGAGUGAAGAAGGCCUUUGGGUUGUAAAGCUCUUUCGUCGGGGAAGAAAAUGACUGUACCCGAAUAAGAAGGUCCGGCUAACUUCGUGCCAGCAGCCGCGGUAAUACGAAGGGACCUAGCGUAGUUCGGAAUUACUGGGCUUAAAGAGUUCGUAGGUGGUUGAAAAAGUUGGUGGUGAAAUCCCAGAGCUUAACUCUGGAACUGCCAUCAAAACUUUUCAGCUAGAGUAUGAUAGAGGAAAGCAGAAUUUCUAGUGUAGAGGUGAAAUUCGUAGAUAUUAGAAAGAAUACCAAUUGCGAAGGCAGCUUUCUGGAUCAUUACUGACACUGAGGAACGAAAGCAUGGGUAGCGAAGAGGAUUAGAUACCCUCGUAGUCCAUGCCGUAAACGAUGUGUGUUAGACGUUGGAAAUUUAUUUUCAGUGUCGCAGCGAAAGCGAUAAACACACCGCCUGGGGAGUAC